UCAAAGAAGAAGAAGAAGAAGAUGAUGAUGAAGAAGAAGAAGAAGAUAACGUCAUAGGUCACAUGACAACGUCAACAUGGCGGAUCGCAUUCAUACUCAGCGAGAUUUGGCUGUAGAGUACAUACUCUUUUAUCGCUCGUUAAGUACUCACUUAUUGAAAUUAAGUACCUACUCAUUGAGUAUGUGGUUUCACAGCAGCCAUUGAAUGCUCACUGGGUCAGCAGGAGAAGUAUGUGAGAGAGAAACUGCAUAGGCGGGUUUCGGGAGAAAUUACUCAUGGGGAAAGUUCGCAUAAACAGGCACGUCACUGCCAAUAAUAGCAUGAACAUCACUGACAGAGAAACAUUUACCAGAGGUUUCAGUGUGCAGAUAUUUCUGAGAGAAAGAAGAAAAAAAAAAUGGCAAAAAGAGAGGAUGAGAUACAAUCUGACGAGUCAAAACAGAAAAAGCUGCUGAGAGAAGUCAGAUGGAACAGCAUUAAUAGCGGCAGACCAAACUUUUCUCAUGACACAAAGACACCUGAAGAGAUUCAUUCUGAUGUUUCAGAUGGACUCACAGACCAGGGGUCUAAUGUUUCUGGACGAGAUCAGACAUGAGCUCCUCAGAAACAACAAGCUGCUGUUGAACCUCUUUUAUUGUAGAUGACUUCUAGAUUUGUUUAUUUAAAAAAAAUUAAAAAAACUAUUAUAUAAAAACACUUAAAAUAAAUGGUAUUGAACAUAUUGUAUGCAUACAUAAUACAAUAAUCUGCUGUAUUUCUUAUGUAUUGUUUUACUUUAAUGCAAAUUGUUAAUCCAGAGCUUUUUUUUCCACGAUUGAAAUGACCUUUCUCACAGACAUUGUUAACUUUGUACAUUUAUAGUUAUGAAAUAAAAAAUUUAAAAAAUUUAAAAAAGGCAUUUGAUUUGACUUCUGUGCAGCUUGUCUAAAGAAUUGAAUUUACUGAAGAUGUCAAAACAUCAGACUUUAAAAAAAAGGUUUAUUUAUAUAAAACUACAAAUUAAGUGAAGCUCAGGAAUAACUUUAUAAUUUGAUCAGUCUCAAGAUCCAAACAAUUGGUUAUCAAACAAUAAAGGGAUGAUUCAUCUGACAGUAUUAUAAUCUACCUCUAAUUUAGGCUGAUGUUAAUAAAUAGCAUUAUUUAAAAAAAAAAGAAAAUACAAAUACAACAAAAAUAAUUAAAUUAAUAAGAACCAAAUUACCAAACUGAGUAUAAAAACUCUAAAGUAAAACAUUCAGAUUACCUACAGUAAUGAGAAGGUAAAAUAUAAUUAUCAUGGUAUUAGUACAUUAGCACCACCUACUGCUGAACACAUACAAACAUUUUGCCAUUUUAUUAUGAUUAAUAAUAAUCCUAAUUUUAAAAUGAAUGAAUUGAAUUAAGUAAUUACAAGAGAGGUUUUGUUGGUGCUAUAUCCUAAUGUCAUUCUGUUACGGAAUGAUCAGAGCAUGAGACGUUCAGAUCCAUCUGCAGGCUUUUAUUAGACAGAGACGUGGUCAUAACAGACAUGGUGCAAACAGGUAUAUUGAGGGCAAGGUAAGAGAAUAAUCCAAAACGGGUUUGGUCGGUCGAUGGCUAACAAUAUCCAGUGCGCUUGACAAAAGGGGUAAUCCGUAAACAAGAGCAAUAGUCCGGGCUGGGGAAAACAGUAUCCAAAACAGGGCCAGACACAUGGGUAAUCCAAGAUACACAGGCUAGAAUCAGAACACGGGAAAACAGGCAAGGCAAGACUACGAAUAAACUACGGCAGUAGAACUGGCUUCCUUAGAGUAGCUAUCGCUAAACAAUACUUGCAGUGAGAAAGAGGAAGUCCAUGGCUUAUGUAGCAUGUCUGAUUGAAUUCAGCUGUGUAUGUGUACUCAGUGCAGUGGAUUAUGGGAACUGUAGUCCGGGGUGAAGUGCAACAAUUAGUGCAGUGCAAGAGUCCAUGUGGUGAGCGGGUGACCUCUGGUGGUGAGUGAACGGAAGCACAUGAACAGGAUUCGUGACAUUCAAAUAUAAAAAUUGAUUUACGUAAUAUAUCCUACAAUUAAAAACAUAGUACUGUUAGAGUACAUAUAGAUUUAGGUCUAUAUCAGACUACAGUACAGAAUAACAAUUGCAAUAAAUAGAACUAUUACAAAUUAAAUUAUGUAAAUGUAUAAAUGUAUUCAUUAUUUCAAGACAAAAGUGUUAAAAUAAGAUGUACAUUAAUAUAUACUUUGACAUGAUGAUCCCCAUUAAGCUGCAGAUUUUCUCAUACUGCCUUUCACCUUAAAGGGAUAGUUCACCCAAAAAUGAAAAUGUGAUGUUUAUCUGCUUAGCCCCAGGGCAUCCAAGAUGUAGGUGACUUUGUUUCUUCAGUAGAACACAAACGAAGGUUUUUAACUCAAACCGUUAUAGUCUGUCAGUCAUAUAAUGCCAGUCAAUGGGCACACAAUCUUUGAGAGGAAAAAAAAACAUGCACAGACAAAUCCAAAUUAAACCUUGCUGCUCGUGACGAUACAUUGAUGUCCUAAGACACGAAACGAUCGGUUUGUGCGAGAAACUAUAUAUAUAUAAAUAGGCUAAUAUAAUAAAUUAAACAUUACCUUGUCAUAAUAGUUUUAUAAUUUAUACAGAUAAUUGUUAUAUAUGCCAAUAAAAUAUAAUAACCAUAUUAGAGCAAUAUAUAGGCUAAUCUUAUUUAUUACUUAUAUUAGCGCUUUAUCAUUAAAAUAGCAUACAACUAAUAUAUAUAUAUAUAUAUAUAUAUAUAUAUACACAGUGCCCUCCAAAAGUAUUGUAACAGAGUUAGGUUUACACGCAACAGCUCUUACUGGCCUAUGACAGUUACACUAGCCAUUAUGUUUAAUUGAAGGAGGCAUAUGCGUGUAGAUGCAGCGCGGAGAGCCGCUUUUGAAACGUGCACGGCGCAGCUGGUAUAAACGCAAGCAUUGACUAGAGUGGCCGCGAUCCUAAUCCUCAUGUCAUUCCAAACCAGUGUAGGGGAAGUACAGUUAAGACCUGUAGACCAGUUAUGAUGAAUGAAGACCAGGAGUCAGAGAUGCAAUCAGUCGAGGAAAAAUUUGUUUGUAGUUUCAUCAGCAGAAGUCGGCUUCAAUACUCAGCAAGGAGUUUGUAGGCUGCUCUCCCCAUACAUCAAAUACAACCCGAAAAUGUUGGCCAUUUUUUUUAAAUUUUGAAUAAAAUGAAAACUGAAAGACUUUCAAAUCACAUGAGCCAAUAUUUUAUUCACAAUAGGACAUAGAGAACAUAACAUGUUUAAACGGAGAAAUUUUACACUUAUCCACUAAGUGAGCUCAUUUCAAAUUUGAUGCCAGCUAGAGGUCUCAAAAAAGUUGGCAUGGGGGUAACAAAGGGCUGAAAAAGCAAGACAUUUUGUAAAAGAUUCAGCUGGGAGAACAUCCGGCAACUAAUUAAGUUAAUUGGCAUCAGGCCUGUAACAUGAGCUAUAAAAGGGAUGUAUUAGAGAGGCAGAGUCUCUCAGAAGUAAAGAUGGGCAGAGGCUCUCCAAUCUGUGAAAGAGUGUAAAAAGAUUGUGGAAUACUUUAAAAACAACGUUCCUCAACGUCAAAUUGCAAAGGCUUUGCAAAUCUCAUCAUCUACAGUGCAUAACAUCAUCAAAAGAGUCAGAGAAACUGGAGAAAUCUCUGUGCGUAAGGGACAAGGCAGAAGACCUUUGGAUGCCCAUGGCUCAGACGACACUGCAUCACUCAUUGGAAUGAUUCUGUCACUGACAUUACUAAAUGGGCCCAGGAAUACUUCCAGAAACCACUGUCGGUAAACACAAUCCGCCAUGCCAGCUGCAGAUGCCAACUAAAGCUCUAUCAUGCAACAGGAAGCCAUAUGUGAACAUGGUCCAAGGCUCAUUUAAAAUGGACUGUUUCAAAGUGGAAAAGUGUUCUAUGGUCAGACGAGUCCAAAUUUGACAUUCUUGUUGGAAAUCACGGAUGCCAUGUCCUCCGAGCUAAAGAGGAGGGGAGACCUUCCAGCAUGUUAUCAGCGUUCCGUUCAAAAGCCAGCGUCUCUGAUGGUGUGGGGGUGCAUAAGUGCAUAUGGUAUGGGAAGCUUGCUUGUUUUGGAAGGCACUAUGAUUGCUGAAAGGUGUAUAUAAAGGUUUUAGAGCAGCAUAUGCUCCCCUCCAGAUGACGUGUAUUUCAGCAGAACAAUGAAACCACAUACUGCAGCAAUUACAACUGCAUGGCUUCGUAGUAGAAGAGUCCGGGUGCUGAAUUGGCCUGCCUGCAGUCCAGAUCUUUCACCUAUAGAGAACAGUUGGCGCAUCAUUAAACUAAAAAUAUGUCAAAGACGACCACGAACUCUUCAGCAGCUGGUAACCUAUAUCAGGCAAGAAUGGGACCAAAUUCCAACACCAAAUCUCCAGAAACUCAUAACCUCGAUGCCCAGAUGUCUUCAAACUGUUUUGAAAAGAAGAGGAGAUGCUACACUAUGGUAAACAUGCCCCCGUCCCAACUGUUUUGAGACCUGUAGCAGGCAUCAAAUUUGAAAUGAGCUCAUUUUGUGCAUAAAAUUUUAAAAUUUCUCAGUUUAAACAUUUGUUAUCUGUGCUCUAUUGUGAAUAAAAUAUUGGCUCGUGUGAUUUUUAAAUUCUUUUAGUUUUCAUUUUAUUCAAAUUUAAAUAACGUCCCAACAUUUCCAGAAUUCAGUUUGUACAGCAGCAAUUAUACUCAAACAGAAAUCAGUAUGCUAUUUCAUUACUUCAAGUUUCAGUAUUCUGAUUGGCUAAAGCAUAGAUGAAUUUGGAACAUCGUCGAACAAUAGCAGUCAAUAACAUAUCUUCAUUGAUUAUCAGCAUGACAUCGGGGGUUCGAGUCUUAGGCACAACAUGUCCCUCCUAGCUCACAGAACAGCAUUUUGAUUAGUCCGGUGGUCAUAAUAUGGUCAUUCCAACACCCCGGAUGCUACUUAUUCACCUUACGGGAGCCAUCUCGUCCUGCAACAAAAACGCAUACAUACAUACAUCAUCUUCAAGGCUAGAGGAUUCAGAGACAUCCUUUCUCACAGUGAGGGGUUCAAACAAUAUUCUGCAUUUAUUCUCUAAGUAUGAUGUGAAGUGAAAGUUCUUAAUGUGUGAGUUGGUCAAGCAGGGAAGGCCCUGUGUGUGAGAAGCAUGUUAUAUUUCUUAACCCUACUUCAGUAUAAGAUUACAGAAAUUAUUCAAAUCAUUAAAUUCAUAGAAGGAUAAAUAUUGAUUAAUAACUGAUCGUAAUCAUUCAAAAGGAUAUAAUAAAAAGCAAGGUGGGGGAUCCUGAUUUAUGUGGAAUAUAAAAGAAAAUGGAAGUCAGUGGUAACCAACUUUUUUUUCCCUUUCAGAAGAAAGUAAAUCAAGCAGGUUUGGAAUGACAAAGACAAAACUGGACUGAUGCAAAAAUAUGGGAGUUUUACCUGCAAACCCAUGUGAGAUUGCUGUAUGAUUCAUCUGCUCCACGAAACAAAAAGCGCAAAAAAUGACAACCACUGCACCAGAGAUGAUUUAUUUAAUUCCCAGAUGUGUAUAGUCUAUAAUCUAUCAACAUUGCUUCCUCUCCUCUUCGUGAACAUUGUGCUUUGUGUGGCAGCCUGUAAUAAUGCAGAAUAUGAAGUUAAUGGAGUGUGUUGCCCGAUGUGUUAUCCAGGAAAGCGAGUUUAUAGACAUUGUGAUGAGUACACAAGCACAACAUGUGAUUCAUGCCCCGUGAUGACCUUCACUGACGCUCCUAAUAGAUUUACUGAAUGUCUGCACUGUUCUGUCUGUGAUCCAAGUAAUGGGCUGAGAGUAAAGCAUGCAUGUACAUUAAUAUCAGAUACAGUGUGUGAACCUCUGCCAGGUUAUUACUGUGUAGACUUGCUCUCCAACUGUAAAAAGGCCAUGAAACAUUCAUCCUGCUCACCUGGACAAUACAUCAAACAAAACGGAACAGAAUUCAGAGAUACAGUGUGUGAUGUCUGUCCUGGCGGUUCAUAUUCAGAUGGCACAUUCUGCAAAUUGCAUACAAACUGUGAAUCUCUUGGCAAAUUAACAAUCAAGGAAGGAACCGAUACGACUGAUGCUGAGUGCAGGAAUAGAGCACGUUCUCAUUUACUGUCACUGAUUCUGUGUGGAGUGUGGUCGCUGUUGUUUACUGUCAUCAUUGUAAUUAUUGUAAAGAAGAAAAAGCAAAGGCAAAAUAGCGAAUUAAAUCGAGUUACAACCCAAGAUGUGGACCUGUAAACUUUUUUUAUAUAUAGUAAGUUGCAUAGAUCCCCCAACAGAUAUUUUAUCAAAGAUUCAGUCAUGUUUAGUGGACAUUUUUUGGGACAAGCUGCACUGGGAACCAAAAAGUGUAUUGAACUUUCCUAAAGAAGGACUUGGACCGGUGCAUCUACAAAGUCGAACAGCUGCUUUCAGAAAUCAGUUCAUACAAAGACUUUUAACAGACUCGGAGAACUCAAACUGGAAGAAGGUGGCCUUCUCUGUUCUGAGAGGGUUUGAAGGCCUGGGAUUGGACAGAGCCUUACUUUGGCUAGAUCCUCAGAAGCUGAAACGCUCUAAGUUUCCUGUUUUUUAUCAAAAUCUUUUUAAAGUGUGGGCCGUGUUCAAGAUCCCAGAGGAGAGGACUGUGAACUCUUUGCUGUUGCACGAGCCGUUAAUGUUUGGCUCAUGUUUGGCCUUGUCCAGUGAACUGAGUUACUUUGUGACAGAAGAGGAUCUUCUCAACUCUGGACUUUUAACUAUUGGACAAGUUCUACAAGUAGCUGGAGCUAACAAUAUAAAUGUGAGUUCAGUGACUGAGAAGCUGGGGAUAAUGGACAACUGUGGAGGAGGCUGUUUCUUAGAGGUUACCAGUUUGGUUGUGAUGGGCUCAGAUGUUACUUCUGGAAAGGUCUGUUACAAAAUCUGUGUUAUAAUCUUUAAUAAGAAGGCCUUGGAUAAAAAAAAAAAACGAUACAACUUGGCGUGGUAUGCUUCAUAUGAAAGAGAGUGAAAAACCUGAGUGGAGAGUAUUGUAUAAGUCAGCAUUAUCUGAGAGAAUUGGAGAUUUGAUUAUAUGUCAAAUUAUUUUUUACUUUAUUUAUCCAGUUUUUCUUUUUCACCCAGCAAACAUAAAUAUACUGAUAAACACAAGGUACAAGACUCUGGCUUUCUCUGUCUUCUUUGGAGCUCCUAUGAAAUAACAAGAGAGAAAAUACUGUCAAGUAUGUCAACAGUAUGAUGAAUAAAUAUUAAUGGUAACACUUUACAAUAUGAUGUAUUUUGUUAACAUUAGUUAAUGUAUUAACUAACAUCAAUGAACAAUACAUUUAUUACACAAUUUAUUAAUCUUUGUUAAUAAAAAUACAGUCGUUUAUUGUUCAUGUUAGUUCACAGUGCAUUAAUGUUUACAAACAACUUGUGAUUUUAAUAAUGCAUUAGUAAAUGCUGAAAUUAACAUGAACUAAGAUUAUAAAUGCAGCAGAAGUAUUGUUCAUUCUUAUUUCAUGAUAAUAGAUUAACAGAUUUGAACAAAGAAAUGAAGCAUUACUACGCACAGGCCGUAUUGAUUGCUAAUACAAAAAUAAGGCGAGUAAAGAAAACGUGGUACUUAAUAAAAUAAUCACCCUUUACUUAAAUAUAUGAACACAGAAAACCUCUGUUAACAGGUUAAUGUAACAUUUCCCAUUCUAUGACUAAUAAAAUAAUCGCAACUUACUCUGUGUAACUGAACAUGGCUUUCCUCGGAGAAGCUGC
RNA transcript from Onychostoma macrolepis, 7691 nucleotides. It is a transcript of the gene named tumor necrosis factor receptor superfamily member 14-like, with no coding region annotated. Lineage: Eukaryota; Metazoa; Chordata; Actinopteri; Cypriniformes; Cyprinidae. The record is from RefSeq and is a predicted model, not a curated record. The transcript is spliced from 9 exons.